Molecule: long non-coding RNA, 2507 nt
Organism: Triticum aestivum (bread wheat)
Lineage: Eukaryota; Viridiplantae; Streptophyta; Magnoliopsida; Poales; Poaceae
Exons: 7
Source: RefSeq, a predicted model, not a curated record
CGCAAAUCCCCCUGCGUACCGUGGUAAAAAAAAGGCCCCACGAUUAUGUUCGCCGCAACCGCCGCACUCGUUGCCCCUCAUCCUCGGCAGCGAGAGGCACGGGGGAGCUGCCGCCGGUCAAGAUGGGCGCCGGGGCGCCGCGCUCUACCUCGGCACCAACGCCCUCUGCGACGUCGAGGGCGGCCACCGGGCCAUCGUCUUCGACCGCCUCGACGCUGGGGAUCGAGGACAAGGUCUAGGUAUCCCGAGGGGACUCGCUCAUCAUCCCGUGGAUUCGAGAGGCCGGUCAUCCAGGACGUCCGCGCAUGACCCAAUUUCGUGGAGAGCACCUCCGGAAGAAGGGGUCUCCAGACGGUAGGAUGGGCUCUGCUACAUGUAAAUGGUUCUGGCAUUUCCCACCAGUCUUCUCCCUGUCGUCAUCGUCCUUCCUGCUGCCAGCUCCGCCCUUCUCCGCCUUAUCUCCACGGCAACGAUUCUGCUCCAUCCAUUGAGGUGGAGGCUGGCCUGUAGCUCGUGUGCACGGAGGAGAAGCACACUUCACUGAGAAGUUGUUGCCACUAUCCUCGGUGCCACCGCCAGUGACGAAACUUGGUGGUGAGCCUCAUUUCGCCCCCUCUCAGUUCUUCCGUUUUGCUCUGGAUGAUCUCUGUUCAUGUUGUUAAUGUUUAAAGUAUCUCUUGUUGUUCUAGGCUUCUAGCUGAUAAUCUUGUUGGUCGCUGUCAGUGUGGUGCACAUACACCUAGGCUUUAAGUUGUUGUGAUUUUCCUAUAAGAUGUUGAGAGCAUGGAACUGAAAUUGACAUCAGAAAUAGACUUGUUAAGUGUUUGUGUUGCCACCAAUCAAAAGCUGGUAUGUAAUCUACAAGCCAACAUAGUCGACUAGUGUGAUUUCAUAAAUAUGUACACUUGUACAGAAUGGAGUAUGAACAUGCAGUUAAACUUACGAUCAUCAAUUUUCCACUUUUUAAUAACUUGUUUUCUGAAGCAUUUUGUUUUCUCCAAUUACAUGAUUUAAUAAAAUAACAUAUGGCCAGUUCAUUACAAGCGUUGUUUAUUGUAGCGUAUUUCGGCCAUAUCUUCUAACAUACUUCAGGGUUGCAUUAGUGGAAAAUAUGCUGGAAAGAGAGUGUUCAUCCCUAUGAUCCCUUUGGCGCCCUCGGAGGACAUUUCGCUUCCUUUCAAGUUGAUGAAGAGGAAACAGUUCCCUGUUUGUCAGAGUUAUGCAAAGACCAUUAAUAUAGCCCAGGGGCAAACCAUCUCAACUGUCGGUAUGUACCUUCCGGAGUAUGUACUCUCGCAUGCCCAGGUUUAUCUUGCACUGUCAAGAGGUGUGUCAUUGCAGACAACUCGGAUUCUGGUAAAGCCAAAUAAAAUAUAGAUUCCACUGGUAAAAGCACCAAGAACAUUGUGUACGGAGAUAUCUUGUAGGGAUAACAUAGCUUUUUGUCUGGUCGCACCUAUAGGCAGUAUAGAGGAUCUACUCUCAGUAAGCUCAUUUUUUCCGCUUCCAUUACUUUUUUUACCUUACUUUACACUGUGUAAUCUGUUUCAAUGCUAUGAUGCACUAUACGUAUGUUCUGCAUCAUUUUCCUUGUUGUAUCUACUGAGACCUAUUGUUGGAGCAUUCAUUUUAUUGGGAUUCUAUAUCUAAGUUGAAAACGUAAUAAGGUGAGGUUUAGAAUUUAAUUAAGCUGAUCAAAGUGUGCUUACUGGUCAGAAUGUGCUUAUUACUGGUUUCCUAUGUUAUUUUUAUGACUAUAAAAGUAAUUAUGUCCUAUGAGUCUUGGAAGGUGUGAAUUCGAAAUCAACUAUAUUUCUUGCUAUUCUGGUUUAGAUGCUUUUGAGGCCUCUGAUUCUACACUAUUCAGCCUCCUUGACGAAUAACAGUCGACUCUGAUAGUGUUUGAGUUUGUUUCUCCUAAAGCUAACUGACCAACAUCUGAACGACUUCGACUGCUGCAUACAAGUCCAGCUAAGCACGGUGCAAGUAUAACUCUGUCAGCGGAAAUGAGAUGCUUUCAUCGAUUUGCUAUGUUGAUUCAUGUGUUCCUUUUAGUCAAAGGAUAAGAUUUGCGACCAGCUUCAUGUUCUCAGAUAAUACUGGUGCAUAAUGCAUUCAGGUUGCAUUUAUCAGACUGCACCUUGUUAUCAGAUUGCCUGUACAAAGACUGAAUUUUGUUGGCUGGUACUUGCGGUGAGAAGCAGCAUGCACAUGUUGUGCAUUAGUUUGGUGGAUUUCCAUAGCUUAGCUUAUGUAUGAGAAAUAUAUUAUAUACAUUUUGUAUUGGUGGCGACUCUUUUCUUUGAAAGGUCAAAUCAUUUUAUUAUUAUUGAUUGAUCAGCAGCAAGGUAAAUAGACAAGAGUGAAUGGUUUCGGGAGAAAAGGCACAACGGCAAGUUGGCAAGGUUGUGGCUAGCUGCGUGUGGUGGAGAUGGUUUUGUAGUGUGUAGUGGGCAUGGGAAUCUGUUGCAUCCUAAAGUAGUCCUCAGUGUUUGUUUGGCAGCCUU